RNAcentral lists this long non-coding RNA (698 nucleotides) under Fukomys damarensis (Damara mole-rat). Its description in RNAcentral is "lncRNA (ENSFDAG00000032788.1)". Lineage: Eukaryota; Metazoa; Chordata; Mammalia; Rodentia; Bathyergidae. The record is from RNAcentral.
CCACGGAAGACGUGGUCCACGGCACUUGAUGAGGGUUCAGAGCACACGAGCCUUAUCUGGAAGUACAAAACACACUUCCUUCCAAAGCGACUCAGUUAGAAAGAAUGUGCAUCUUCUGUGUCGCACCUUCCCCGGCCCUGCUUUCCUCACCCCAGACAAUGGAGUAUUGUCUCGGAAAGCAGAAACAAAAGAGCAGCACAAAAGCAAACUCCGCCCACGGGAAGAACAGAUGCCAAGGACCCACCUACUGUGGCUCCCCCUGCACUACCCAGGCCCAGAGAGGUGCUUCUCCGGGUGUGGGGUCGGAGAGGGCAAUGCAGAGAGGUUUCUUCAAGGUGUUAAAGGACCCAAGAAGCACAGCUGUGUCUGCCUCUGGUUCCUAAGAGUCCACUUCUCCCCCAGCACUGCCCACCCAGCCACAGGGCAGCUCUGUUCUGCAGAACAACUGAGACCACUCCCGCAGGAGGGCCUCUGCACUGCCCAGGUGGGAAGCACUUGGUGGGAACGAGCUUGGCAGCGCUGGGCCCGGGAGGGACAUAACCUCUGCAAAGCCUGCCCUGAGCACCUGCCCCUCUCACAUUUCCACCUGGACUUGCCUUCCCCAGGAGGUCACAUUGACUUGCUAUUUGACUUUCUUCAUGGUUCUUAAAACUAUGGAAAAUAAUCUUUUCAGUUUUUAACCCAUUCCUUUUCUACCC